UGGGGAAUAUUGGACAAUGGGGGCAACCCUGAUCCAGCCAUGCCGCGUGUGUGAAGAAGGCCUUUUGGUUGUAAAGCACUUUAAGCAGUGAAGAAGACUCUAUGGUUAAUACCCAUGGACGAUGACAUUAGCUGCAGAAUAAGCACCGGCUAACUCUGUGCCAGCAGCCGCGGUAAUACAGAGGGUGCAAGCGUUAAUCGGAAUUACUGGGCGUAAAGCGAGCGUAGGUGGCUUGAUAAGUCAGAUGUGAAAGCCCCGGGCUUAACCUGGGAACGGCAUCUGAUACUGUUAGGCUAGAGUAGGUGAGAGGAAGGUAGAAUUCCAGGUGUAGCGGUGAAAUGCGUAGAGAUCUGGAGGAAUACCGAUGGCGAAGGCAGCCUUCUGGCAUCAUACUGACACUGAGGUUCGAAAGCGUGGGUAGCAAACA
RNAcentral lists this ribosomal RNA (427 nucleotides) under uncultured bacterium. Its description in RNAcentral is "partial 16S ribosomal RNA". It matches the Rfam family "Bacterial small subunit ribosomal RNA", at positions 355 to 774 of the family's 1533-position model. The record is from RNAcentral.